Molecule: ribosomal RNA, 253 nt
Filed under: uncultured bacterium
Lineage: Bacteria
Description: partial 16S ribosomal RNA
Rfam family: Bacterial small subunit ribosomal RNA
Source: RNAcentral
UACGUAGGUGGCGAGCGUUGUCCGGAUUUACUGGGCGUAAAGGGAGCGUAGGCGGACUUUUAAGUGAGAUGUGAAAUACUCGGGCUCAACUUGAGUGCUGCAUUUCAAACUGGGAGUCUAGAGUGCAGGAGAGGAGAAUGGAAUUCCUAGUGUAGCGGUGAAAUGCGUAGAGAUUAGGAAGAACACCAGUGGCGAAGGCGAUUCUCUGGACUGUAACUGACGCCGAGGCUCGAAAGCGUGGGGAGCAAACAGG